Molecule: non-coding RNA, 409 nt
Organism: Schizosaccharomyces pombe (fission yeast)
Lineage: Eukaryota; Fungi; Ascomycota; Schizosaccharomycetes; Schizosaccharomycetales; Schizosaccharomycetaceae
Source: the annotation of a GenBank genome assembly
UUUCUAUGUAAUUUGCUUUAAUUUCGUUUUUAAAAUUAGCAAUUAAGAUGGUAAAUUGGAAUGUGUACAAAAAUUUUUUCAGGAGCCUUUAUCUUUUGCUGUCUUUAAAAGUAUAUAUCAAAAGUUAAUAAAUUGAAGGUGAUAGACAUAGAAUUCUAUUUUUGAGGAUACUAUCAUUAUACAUUAUCUUAAGGCUCGUCAUGGUCUUUCCCUAAAAGUCUUUAGAACAAUUGCGGACCAUCUUAUCGACUUUUUGUUAAUUACUAGCUUUAAUUUAUCAAGAUGUACACGGUAAAACUUCAUUUAAUUUCGAAGUCCACGGAUUACGGUCAAUAAAAUUAUAUCACCGAAGAUUAGGACGUUGAUACCGAGAUCUACUAUAUAUAAGCAUAUCUGACAUUUUUAAAAA